AGAGUUUGAUCCUGGCUCAGGACGAACGCUGGCGGCGUGCCUAAUACAUGCAAGUCGAACGAGAAUUUCUUACACCGAGUGCUUGCACUCACCGUAAGAAAUUCGAGUGGCGGACGGGUGAGUAACACGUGGGUAACCUGCCCAAAAGAAGGGGAUAACAUUUGGAAACAAAUGCUAAUACCGUAUAACCAUGAUGACCGCAUGGUCAUUAUGUAAAAGGUGGUUCUGCUAUCGCUUUUGGAUGGACCCGCGGCGUAUUAACUAGCUGGUAGGGUAACGGCCUACCAAGGUGAUGAUACGUAGCCGAGUUGAGAGACUGAUCGGCCACAAUGGGACUGAGACACGGCCCAUACUCCUACGGGAGGCAGCAGUAGGGAAUCUUCCACAAUGGGCGCAAGCCUGAUGGAGCAACGCCGCGUGAAUGAAGAAGGUCUUCGGAUCGUAAAAUUCUGUUGUUAGAGAAGAAUAUGAGUAAUAGUAACUGAUUAUUCACUGACGGUAUCUAACCAGCAAGUCACGGCUAACUACGUGCCAGCAGCCGCGGUAAUACGUAGGUGGCAAGCGUUGUCCGGAUUUAUUGGGCGUAAAGGGAACGCAGGCGGUUUUUUAAGUCUGAUGUGAAAGCCUUCGGCUUAACCGGAGAUGUGCAUUGGAAACUGGAAGACUUGAGUGCAGAAGAGGAGAGUGGAACUCCAUGUGUAGCGGUGAAAUGCGUAGAUAUAUGGAAGAACACCAGUGGCGAAAGCGGCUCUCUGGUCUGUAACUGACGCUGAGGUUCGAAAGCAUGGGUAGCGAACAGGAUUAGAUACCCUGGUAGUCC
Molecule: ribosomal RNA, 820 nt
Filed under: uncultured bacterium
Lineage: Bacteria
Description: bacterial SSU rRNA
Rfam family: Bacterial small subunit ribosomal RNA
Source: RNAcentral